Biomphalaria glabrata is the source of this 947-nucleotide long non-coding RNA. RefSeq lists it as uncharacterized. The record is from RefSeq and is a predicted model, not a curated record. The transcript has 3 exons. Lineage: Eukaryota; Metazoa; Mollusca; Gastropoda; Planorbidae.
AGUUGUCUGUCGUAGUGUUGAAUGACAAGUGACGUCUUCUUAUGCGUGGGCAGGUAACUCGACAUUAACCUUGAUCGGUUAAUGACCAAAGUUGUGGAACUUGAUUUGAUGCUUACAUUUCAAAUGAACAAAGGUCAACACCUGCUGUGCACUAGCCCACACUGUAAUAUGGUCUGAAGCCAAACUGCUGUAAACACACUAAGGAUAAUGUCCUAGCCAACUCUAUCCUAAGGAAAGAGAUGAAACGAAAUGAGUUGCUGAGUUACGAUGUCUAUAACUUAUCCAUAAACACCGAAGACUACACAGCCCAAAGAACAAGCACGAGCAAAGCAAAACGCCUUGACCAGAACUACAAAGGUACAAUGAAUAAAUGAUUUUCAACCUGAACUACAAAUGGGAAAUGGGAGAAAUAACGUGUAAACUAUUUUAACAGACAGACAGAAGGAGUGAGUUGAUAUAAGCUUUGAAAUAUAAAUAUCAUCACCUAUGUGAAGUUCUAUAACAUUCUGACUUUCAUCAAGUUAAACGAAACAUUUUAACGUUGUACUCCGUUCCAUAUCAAUGUGAGAACUGUGUUCAUUUUGGUUUUCCCCCUUUACGUUAGAUAUUGAAAUCAACUUACUUUAGGUAGGUGUUAGUGUGUAGGUAUAACCUGUAUUGAAAAAGGUCUUUUUUUUUUUUUUGGACAUUUUUUUCUCCGUGCAUUAUUUACCUUUAGAAAACAUUUUUGGGCGAGUAAUGUAGGCCUAUGUCAGAUUACUUAUAUGGGCAUUUGUUUAAAACUUUGUAGGCCUAUGUCAAAUUGCUUAUAUGGGCAUUUGUUUAAUACUUUGUAGGCCUAUGUCAGAUUACUUAUAUGGACAUUUGUUUAAUACUUUGUAGGCCUAUGUCAGAUUACUUAUAUGGGCAUUUGUUUAAUACUUUGUAGGCCUAUGUCAGAUUACCUA